UUGUUGUAUGAAAAAAGAGAAGGUUAGCAUUCCCCUUGACAGUGAUGGAAGAGGCUCUUGAGCCUAACAACACACAUACAGUUAAGGCACUACCACCUACUUAGUGACAUCUAACCAUUGUUUUUG
Molossus molossus (Pallas's mastiff bat) is the source of this 126-nucleotide small nuclear RNA. NCBI's taxonomy places the organism in Eukaryota, Metazoa, Chordata, Mammalia, Chiroptera, Molossidae. The record is from RefSeq and is a predicted model, not a curated record.